UAAGACACAGUUCAAACCACAUUUUAAAAAUAAAAUGUGGCUCGUUUAUAUCAAGUGUUCUGCCUUGCAAUAAGAAAUUUCAUAAAAUAAAAUAGCAAAAUGCUUGCAUUGGUUUUGAUUAAAAACAUCACUAAAAAUGCUUUUUAGUACCAUAACGGUAUUUACUAACAUAAUAUUUUUUACAAAAAUAUAUUUUUUAAAGUGUUAUAGGCUACCAUACCCAAUAAUUAGGGUUAAGGUUAAAGGCUAAAAUAGGUUAUAUAUGGGGUUAAGGCUAAAAUAGGUUAUAUCUAGGGUUAGGGUUAAGGCUAAAAUAGGUUAUAUCUAGGGUUAAGGCUAAAAUAGGUUAUAUCUAGGGUUAAGGCUAAAAUAGGUUAUAUCUAGGGUUAAGGCUAAAAUAGGUUAUAUCUAGGGUUAAGGCUAAAAUAGGUUAUAUCUAGGGUUAAGGCUAAAAUAGGUUAUAUCUAGGGUUAAGGCUAAAAUAGGUUAUAUCUAGGGUUAGGGCUAAAAUAGGUUAUAUCUAGGGUUAGGGUUAAGGCUAAAAUAGGUUAUAUCUAGGGUUAGGGCUAAAAUAGGUUAUAUCUAGGGUUAGGGUUAAGGAUAAAAUAGAUAUGAGGUUUAACGGCGGCUGGCAUCCAAUUUGUUGCAUUACCG
Molecule: long non-coding RNA, 654 nt
Organism: Oncorhynchus keta (chum salmon)
Lineage: Eukaryota; Metazoa; Chordata; Actinopteri; Salmoniformes; Salmonidae
Exons: 3
Source: RefSeq, a predicted model, not a curated record